AAUUUGAUUAAUCUUCAAUGUGUUCACUUAAUAAGUUUUCCAUUUAAUGUUUUAUGCGUAGAUAAUGACACAAAUGCAGGGACAUGAGCCCGCUGAUGUGAUAUACCUCAAAAGCAAGCAUUAGUAUUUAUUUGUUUUCUCAUUUUUUUGCCAUUUCUUCCUAAAUUUUACUAUAACAAAAAACUCCAACAAAAUAAAUAAAUAAACCGGUUGUCUGUUUUAUUAGGGGCUCCAAGAGUCACUUCCUUCAUAAGUUUCCAAUAACUGAAUUAGAGAGGCUCCCUCCCAAAAUCCUACCGCUUCUUCUCCUCUUUUUCCCUUUCUCCUUCUCCAUUUGAGAGUCCAUUCAAUUGUCCUUUCCUACUCCAUGUUCCAAUUAUGUUUGCACACUUGAUUCUCUGGAAUUCAGGUAUUACGGGAGCUUCAUCAAUAAAAUUUUGCUCAAUCCAAGUUCAUUGUUUUACCGUUGGGUGGGUGAUGUUGGUAAUUAUAUUAUAGAUACUUUAGCUUUCUGAUUGCGAUUUUUCUGUUCAGAUUUGUAUCACUAAUUUGCUUAAUUGAAUCACUUAUUGUCUAAUUUAUGUGUACUCCUCUUUCAGGCUUUCAACGUUGCUCUCUACAAGUCUCGGUUCUCUCCUCAACAAUGAGGGACUACCGAGGUCACUCUUGAAACUUUCAAUGGUUUAUUUAUACUUGAGGUACUAUAUUCUUCUAUUAGAGUUUGUUUUUGUUGUCGUAUAGUUGGGUUUUAGGUGAUGAGGGAAAAAUUAAAAUUCGUACUUUAAAAGUAGAUAAAUUACCAGCAUGUGCCAUAAACUUGCUGUCGUUUCAUAAAGCUUGAUUAGCUUUCGUUUCAUAUAGCUUGAUUAGAGAGGGCCAACAGAGAUGUGGCCAAGGGCUGAACAAGGGUUUAUAACGGUCACUCUUGAAACUCCAUGGGUUCAUUUAAACUUUGGAUUUUAUUGUUCACGUUGGAGGUCGAACUUGUACAGGAAGAGAUGGAGAAUCUGUUUAUGGUCUUCAAUGAAAGACAUAGGAGUUGCCGGGAACAAGUAGUUGCUAAAGAUAUUAGCUCCAUAAAACUAUUUUGAUUUGUAUUUCGGCAAAGACAUGUGGACGAACUUUGGCCCACGUCAAGAUGUGAACUUCGUUGAAGUUAUUAGGUAAUACUUGCUACUAUGCUACUUUAUAGACACUGAGGAUAAUAGGAGGCACUUUGGUAACCCUCUUAAUCUUUAAAAGUGGAAGUGAUGUAAAUUAGGAACUUCAUGGGUCUACUUGUGGUGUUAGCUAGUCUGCAACUUCCAUCAUAUAUACCUUCUGUUAAGCUCCUGAAAAAUCGAUCCCUCCUAUGCCUAUUCGGUCAUCUUUCUUUCUAAUAAUUAAACAACCAGAAGGUAUGUCUAUUCAUAUCCUCAUCCCUUCCUAGUUUUUUAGUUGCGUAUGUGCAUAUUCAUUUGAAAUGUUUUACUUAUAUUUCUCGAUCGUUUUUAUUGAAUAAUUGUUAACUUUA
Long non-coding RNA from Lycium ferocissimum, 1513 nucleotides. RefSeq lists it as uncharacterized. Lineage: Eukaryota; Viridiplantae; Streptophyta; Magnoliopsida; Solanales; Solanaceae. The transcript has 4 exons. The record is from RefSeq and is a predicted model, not a curated record.